RNAcentral lists this ribosomal RNA (776 nucleotides) under uncultured Neocallimastigales. Its description in RNAcentral is "partial large subunit ribosomal RNA". It matches the Rfam family "Eukaryotic large subunit ribosomal RNA", at positions 26 to 635 of the family's 3401-position model. Lineage: Eukaryota; Fungi; Neocallimastigomycota; Neocallimastigomycetes; Neocallimastigales. The record is from RNAcentral.
CGUCUAUAUACGUAUAGCAUAUCAAUAAGCGGAGGAAAAGAAACUAACUAGGAUUCCCUCAGUAACGGCGAGUGAAGCGGGAAGAGCUCAAAUUUGAAAUCUUCAAGGUUCUACCUUGACGAAUUGUAGUUUAAAGAAGUGUUUUCUGUUGGAGUUUUGGUAAAAGUUCUUUGGAAUAGGACAUCAUAGAGGGUGAGAAUCCCGUAUUUGACCAUUAUUUCCAACUUUGUGAUACACUUUCAAAGAGUCGGAUUGUUUGGGAAUGCAGUCCAAAAUGGGUGGUAAAUUUCAUCUAAAGCUAAAUACUGGCGAGAGACCGAUAGCGAACAAGUACCGUGAGGGAAAGAUGAAAAGAACUUUGAAAAGAGAGUUAAACAGUACGUGAAAUUGUCAAAAGGGAAGCGUUUGACACCAGUGUUGUUUUCUCGAAAAUCAAUUAAAAAUGGUGGGAUGUUGUGUUGUUAUUGACUUUAUCAGCUUUCUGCACUUUUUUUCCUAUCUUUUUUAAUGCACUUUUCGUUUAACAAGUCAACAUCAAUUUCUUUUGUUGUAAAAGAGUCAUUGGAAGGUGGCUUUCUUUUCGGAGAAAGUGUUUAUAGCCUUUGGCUUCUGCAAUCGGAGAGAUUGAGGUCUGCAGCGUAGAUCCUUCGGGGUUAGAUACAUUUGCGCUAAGUUAUAGCCUUUCAUAGACAACUUGUUGACUAUGAUCAGUCAUGUAGCUUACUCGCUUAUGUCAUUUUACCUACGCUUAGGAUGUUGAUAUGCAUGACUGAUAU